UACGUAGGGUGCAAGCGUUGUCCGGAAUUAUUGGGCGUAAAGAGCUCGUAGGCGGUUUGUCACGUCGGCUGUGAAAACCUGGGGCUCAACCCCGGGCCUGCAGCCGAUACGGGCAGACUGGAGUUCGGCAGGGGAGACUGGAAUUCCUGGUGUAGCGGUGAAAUGCGCAGAUAUCAGGAGGAACACCGGUGGCGAAGGCGGGUCUCUGGGCCGAUACUGACGCUGAGGAGCGAAAGCGUGGGGAGCAAACAGG
RNAcentral lists this ribosomal RNA (253 nucleotides) under uncultured bacterium. RNAcentral describes it as "partial 16S ribosomal RNA". It matches the Rfam family "Bacterial small subunit ribosomal RNA", at positions 524 to 776 of the family's 1533-position model. The record is from RNAcentral.